CAGCCGCCGCGGGGAAUACGAAGGGUGCAAGCGUUACUCGGAAUUACUGGGCGUAAAGCGUGCGUAGGUGGUGGUUUAAGUCCGUUGUGAAAGCCCUGGGCUCAACCUGGGAAUUGCAGUGGAUACUGGGUCACUAGAGUGUGGUAGAGGAUAGUGGAAUUUCCGGUGUAGCAGUGAAAUGCGUAGAGAUCGGAAGGAACAUCUGUGGCGAAGGCGACUAUCUGGGCCAACACUGACACUGUGGCACGAAAGCGUGGGGAGCAAACGGGAUUAGAUACCCCGGUAGUCCCUGUCUCUUAUU
This 301-nucleotide ribosomal RNA is filed under the name uncultured bacterium. RNAcentral describes it as "partial 16S ribosomal RNA". It matches the Rfam family "Bacterial small subunit ribosomal RNA", at positions 509 to 808 of the family's 1533-position model. The record is from RNAcentral.